RNAcentral lists this ribosomal RNA (625 nucleotides) under uncultured Gammaproteobacteria bacterium. Its description in RNAcentral is "bacterial SSU rRNA". It matches the Rfam family "Bacterial small subunit ribosomal RNA", at positions 75 to 697 of the family's 1533-position model. The record is from RNAcentral. Lineage: Bacteria; Pseudomonadati; Pseudomonadota; Gammaproteobacteria.
CUUGCUUCUUUGCUGACGAGUGGCGGACGGGUGAGUAAUGUCUGGGAAACUGCCUGAUGGAGGGGGAUAACUACUGGAAACGGUAGCUAAUACCGCAUAACGUCGCAAGACCAAAGAGGGGGACCUUCGGGCCUCUUGCCAUCGGAUGUGCCCAGAUGGGAUUAGCUAGUAGGUGGGGUAACGGCUCACCUAGGCGACGAUCCCUAGCUGGUCUGAGAGGAUGACCAGCCACACUGGAACUGAGACACGGUCCAGACUCCUACGGGAGGCAGCAGUGGGGAAUAUUGCACAAUGGGCGCAAGCCUGAUGCAGCCAUGCCGCGUGUAUGAAGAAGGCCUUCGGGUUGUAAACUGCUUUUGUCGGGGAAGAAAUCUUCUGGGCUAAUACCCCGGGAGGAUGACGGUACCUGAAGAAUAAGCACCGGCUAACUACGUGCCAGCAGCCGCGGUAAUACGUAGGGUGCGAGCGUUAAUCGGAAUUACUGGGCGUAAAGCGUGCGCAGGCGGCUUUGCAAGACAGAGGUGAAAUCCCCGGGCUCAACCUGGGAACUGCAUUUGUGACUGCAAGGCUAGAGUACGGCAGAGGGGGAUGGAAUUCCGCGUGUAGCAGUGAAAUGCGUAGAUAU